CCCUUAGAUGUCCUGGGCCGCACGCGCGUUACACUGAUGCAUUCAACGAGCUUAUAACCUUGGCCGAGAGGCCUGGGCAAUCUUGUUACCGUGCAUCGUGAUAGGGAUAGAUUAUUGAAAUUAUUAAUCUUGAACGAGGAAUUCCUAGUAAACGCAGAUCAUCAAUCUGCAUUGAUUACGUCCCUGCCCUUUGUACACACCGCCCGUCGCACCUACCGAUUGGAUGGUCCGGUGAAGCCUCGGGAUUGUGGUUCUUGCCGCUUUAUUGUGGCGUGACCGCGAGAACUUGUCUAAACCUUAUCAUCUAGAGGAAGGUGAAGUCGUAACA
RNAcentral lists this ribosomal RNA (328 nucleotides) under uncultured eukaryote. Its description in RNAcentral is "partial 18S ribosomal RNA". It matches the Rfam family "Eukaryotic small subunit ribosomal RNA", at positions 1470 to 1796 of the family's 1831-position model. The record is from RNAcentral.